RNAcentral lists this ribosomal RNA (433 nucleotides) under uncultured bacterium. RNAcentral's name for it is "partial 16S ribosomal RNA". It matches the Rfam family "Bacterial small subunit ribosomal RNA", at positions 29 to 507 of the family's 1533-position model. The record is from RNAcentral.
AACGAACGCUGGCGGCAUGCCUAACACAUGCAAGUCGAACGAGACCUUCGGGUCUAGUGGCGCACGGGUGCGUAACGCGUGGGAACCUGCCCUCAGGUUCGGAAUAACUCCCCGAAAGGGGUGCUAAUACCGGAUAAUGUCUUCGGACCAAAGAUUUAUCGCCGUUGGAUGGGCCCGCGUUGGAUUAGCUAGUUGGUAAGGUAAAAGCCUACCAAGGCGACGAUCCAUAGCUGGUCUGAGAGGAUGAUCAGCCACACUGGGACUGAGACACGGCCCAGACUCCUACGGGAGGCAGCAGUGGGGAAUAUUGGACAAUGGGCGAAAGCCUGAUCCAGCAAGGCCGCGUGAGUGAUGAAGGCCUUAGGGUUGUAAAGCUCUUUUACCCGGGAUGAUAAUGACAGUACCGGGAGAAUAAGCUCCGGCUAACUCCGUG